UGAGCAACCUGCCCUUGACUCCGGAAUAACAGCUGGAAACAGCUGCUAAUACCGGAUACGACCUCCGAUGGCAUCAUCGGAGGUGGAAAGCUCCGGCGGUCAAGGAUGGGCUCGCGGCCUAUCAGCUUGUUGGUGAGGUAACGGCUCACCAAGGCUUCGACGCGUAGCCGGCCUGAGAGGGCGACCGGCCACACUGGGGCUGAGACACGGCCCAGACCUCCGUAGGGA
RNAcentral lists this ribosomal RNA (228 nucleotides) under uncultured bacterium. RNAcentral describes it as "partial 16S ribosomal RNA". It matches the Rfam family "Bacterial small subunit ribosomal RNA", at positions 118 to 346 of the family's 1533-position model. The record is from RNAcentral.